UGUGUAGGCGGUUCUUUAAGUUUGGUGUGAAAUCUCCCGGCUCAACCGGGAGGGUGCGCCGAAUACUGAGGGACUAGAGUGUGGGAGAGGAAAGUGGAAUUCCUGGUGUAGCGGUGAAAUGCGUAGAUAUCAGGAGGAACACCGGUGGUGUAGACGGCUUUCUGGACCAUAACUGACGCUGAGACACGAAAGCGUGGGUAGCAAAACA
This 208-nucleotide ribosomal RNA is filed under the name uncultured bacterium. RNAcentral describes it as "partial 16S ribosomal RNA". It matches the Rfam family "Bacterial small subunit ribosomal RNA", at positions 568 to 775 of the family's 1533-position model. The record is from RNAcentral.